UCUCCAUUCCCCUCACCCCACCUUCUCCACCACCGGCCGCCGCCGCGGCCAGGCCGGCGCCGCGGUGCGCCUUCUAGCCAUCCACCGCGCCCUCUCUACCAGCCACCACAUCACCACCUCCGUUAUCACCAAGUGCCACCUCGCGCGCCCCAUCAGACACGAGGUCGCGGAGGCAUCUGAUCCCUCGCGCGAGCUCUCUCUCCUCCACGCGCCUCCACCCUGCUGAUUCUUCUUCCCCUCUCCAUCUCUUGCGCUACAUCUCUUCUCUGAACCUCAUCACUGCUCCUCGCCUUUCAGUCUCGCUGCUGCUCCUUCUUCUCCUGCGUCCCCUGCUGCUCCUCACUUGCUGAAACUCCCCUCUGAACCCUUCCGCUGCUGCUCCUCCCCUCGACCCUACUACUGCUCCUCCUCUCCUCGAAACUGCUGCUACUUCUCCUCUCCUGGCGCCUCAACCUGCUGCCUCUCCAUUCCCCCGCUGCUGCUCCCUCUUCACAUGUCCUCUGCUACUGUUCUUUUCUGAACCAUAAAACUGCUGCUGCUUCUCUCCUCACGCCCCCUACUGCUGCUCCCUUCCCCACCUUGCUGUUGUUCUCUCUCUCUCUCUCUCUCUCUCUCUCUCUCUCUCUCUCUCUCUCAACUUAUUGCAAACUUUAGAAGUGUAAUGUUCAGAACUGUGUAAUGUUUCAGGUUGUGUAAUAUUCAGAUUUGACUAGUGCAAGCAACUUGUUAUUUGUUCAGUUUGGUACUGGUAAAAUAUAUUGUUAAUUUGGGAGAUUAUUGAUCUAUUAGAAAUUGCUUUGGUAAUUAGUGUUCUGUCAGCAUAUAUGUGUGUUCACCCUGUGUAUUUCUUCUC
RNAcentral lists this ribosomal RNA (853 nucleotides) under Triticum aestivum (bread wheat). Its description in RNAcentral is "partial small subunit ribosomal RNA". The record is from RNAcentral. Lineage: Eukaryota; Viridiplantae; Streptophyta; Magnoliopsida; Poales; Poaceae.